This 481-nucleotide ribosomal RNA is filed under the name uncultured bacterium. Its description in RNAcentral is "bacterial SSU rRNA". It matches the Rfam family "Bacterial small subunit ribosomal RNA", at positions 28 to 522 of the family's 1533-position model. The record is from RNAcentral.
GACGAACGCUGGCGGCGUGCCUAACACAUGCAAGUCGAGCGGGGAUGGUGCUUUCGGGCGCUAUUCUAGCGGCGGACGGGUGAGUAACGCGUGAGCAAUCUGUCCUCAAGAGGGGGAUAACACACUGAAAGGUGUGCUAAUACCGCAUAAGACCACAGGAUCACAUGGUCUAGGGGUCAAAGGGGAAACUCGCUGGAGGGUGAGCUCGCGUCUGAUUAGCUAGUUGGUGAGGUAACGGCCCACCAAGGCGACGAUCAGUAGCCGACCUGAGAGGGUGAUCGGCCACACUGGAACUGAGAGACGGUCCAGACUCCUACGGGAGGCAGCAGUGGGGAAUAUUGGGCAAUGGGGGAAACCCUGACCCAGCAACGCCGCGUGAGGGAAGAAGGCCUUCGGGUCGUAAACCUCUGUCCUAUGUGAAGAGAAGAAGACGGUAGCAUAGGAGGAAGCCCCGGCUAACUACGUGCCAGCAGCCGCAGUA